CGUAGGGUGCGAGCGUUAAUCGGAAUUACUGGGCGUAAAGCGUGCGCAGGCGGUUUUGUAAGACAGAUGUGAAAUCCCCGGGCUCAACCUGGGACCUGCAUUUGUGACUGCAAGGCUAGAGUACGGUAGAGGGGGAUGGAAUUCCGCGUGUAGCAGUGAAAUGCGUAGAUAUGCGGAGGAACACCGAUGGCGAAGGCAAUCCCCUGGACCUGUACUGACGCUCAUGCACGAAAGCGUGGGGAGCAAACAGGAUUAGAUACCCUGGUAGUCCACGCCCUAAACGAUGUCAACUGGUUGUUGGGUCUUUACUGACUCAGUAACGAAGCUAACGCGUGAAGUUGACCGCCUGGGGAGUACGGCCGCAAGGUUGA
This 371-nucleotide ribosomal RNA is filed under the name uncultured organism. RNAcentral describes it as "bacterial SSU rRNA". It matches the Rfam family "Bacterial small subunit ribosomal RNA", at positions 526 to 897 of the family's 1533-position model. The record is from RNAcentral.